GUCGGUCGGUCUCGGUCAGUCGAGUCUCGGUCGGUCGGUCUCGGUCGGUCGGUCGGUCGAUCGGUCUAUCAUCUAUCUAUGU
Molecule: microRNA precursor, 82 nt
Filed under: Procavia capensis (Cape rock hyrax)
Lineage: Eukaryota; Metazoa; Chordata; Mammalia; Hyracoidea; Procaviidae
Description: miRNA (ENSPCAG00000019673.1)
Source: RNAcentral